This 596-nucleotide ribosomal RNA is filed under the name Rhacophorus norhayatii (Norhayati's gliding frog). Its description in RNAcentral is "partial large subunit ribosomal RNA". It matches the Rfam family "Bacterial large subunit ribosomal RNA", at positions 1795 to 2620 of the family's 2925-position model. The record is from RNAcentral. Lineage: Eukaryota; Metazoa; Chordata; Amphibia; Anura; Rhacophoridae.
CUCGCCUGUUUUAUCAAAAACAUCGCCUCUUGACAUCUAUAAGAGGUCUAGCCUGCCCAGUGAUAAAUUCAACGGCCGCGGUAUCCUAACCGUGCGAAGGUAGCAUAAUCACUUGUUCUUUAAAUAGGGACUCGUAUCAACGGCAUCACGAGGGUUACACUGUCUCCUCCCUCCAAUCAGUGAAACUGAUCCCCCCGUGAAGAAGCGGGGAUGAACUAAUAAGACGAGAAGACCCCAUGGAGCUUUAAAUCUCACAGCAACUCUAACACUUAAUCCCUCACAACCCACAGAGCAAUGCAUGUCGGUUUUAGGUUGGGGUGACCGCGGAGCAAAAAUUACCCUCCACGACGAAAAGAACUAAGCCUUUAUCUAAGAGCAACUCCUCUAAGAACUAGUAUACUAACGAACAAUGACCCGAUAAUCGAUCAACGGACCAAGUUACCCUGGGGAUAACAGCGCAAUCUACUUCAAGAGCCCAUAUCGACAAGUAGGCUUACGACCUCGAUGUUGGAUCAGGGUACCCCGGUGGUGCAGCAGCUACUAACGGUUCGUUUGUUCAACGAUUAAAACCCUACGUGAUCUGAGUUCAGACCGGA